ACAGGAAAGCAGGCUUCAUGAGUCCACUGGCUUAUGGAUCCUACCAGAACUCUGCAAAACCUAUUUGCUGAAAAGUACGCCAAGAGAAAUCACUCAUGAGCCUCGCCAGCCUGCACGCCUCCCAAGCUGCUCUCCCUCCUGCUGCCUCUGCUCAUGCCAGGUGACAGCCCAGCUCAGGAAGAAGCUUCAUUCUUCCAACCCUUUCUCAGAAGAACUCCUGCCCACACCAGAGAAAACCUGGUUUCAGACCCUGGUAUCCUCAGGGUGGUUGUUCUCCUGUGAGGAACAGCUGGAUGUGACAACGCAGAUGCUGGAAGCUUCCUGAGUGGUGGUAAGUGGCCAUGAUGUUGUAGGGAAGUUAAGGCAGAAACUGAAUUUGUUGAAAAUCUGCCAGAAAUUACCUACAUGAAGAUUAUAACUACUUGAAAAAAAGAGAUGUGGAUGGAAAUGGCAGGUGUGUAGAAAUCUGGUGUUUCUCUUUGUGAUUUGCAAAGCAGCACCUGGAGACCAGCUGACAACAUGAAAAAGAUCCUUAGAUCUGGCUUGCCAGAAAAGGAGGCAGAAAUCAGCAACCUGAAUUAUGUGGGCUGCUCCGAAAGUAAUGCUUCCUAUUUAUUUCUAUGGAGACUACAACAGGUACAAAGACAACAAUAACGUUACUCAAUAGAGCAAAUUCUCAGCUGCAAAACACUCUUUUCCAACACUGUCAUCAACACUAGCUAUGGAUUUUCAUCAGCCAUGAACAAGAACCUGCACGCUGCAGUCAUAAAAAUCUGCACCGGUGGAGGUAAGCCACUGUCAGUGUCACCACUGCUGAAACACACCACCCACCACCUCGCUGUGCUCACAUCCACUGUUUGGUCUCCAUAAGUAUUUAGGAAGUGUUGAUGAAUGUCAGUGGGUGCCGUUUUUUUUCCACAUGGAGGAAUGUAACUACACACCUUUGCUUCCGACACACUUCCAUGUCACAUGCCAUCCUGUCAGACUGCUUCUCUGCUGCCAUCUUGUCACGUGGCAACAACACGUAAUGGAACACUGUUGGGAAGGUUCAGCCUCAACUGCCAUACCACCAAUAUCCACCUCUGAUGCUGUGGGUCAACAAUAAAACAGGAGGCACUACCUUCGGAACAGCUCUUGUAUGUGAGGUCCAGCAGGUGCUGGCACCAGUAAAAAUAAUGGAAAUUUCAAAUAAAUAAGGUGAGCUGAGAAGGCCUCCUUAGAACACAUGUAAAAAAUUUCAUUAUCAUUAAACUUGGAAGCCAAGCACAGCUUUUCAUUUUCAACUCCCUGCAAGAUUGAUUUGACCUGUAUUUAGUGAGGGACUUCAGCCUUUUGUAGCCACCUGGAGCAGGGGACAGGCAAAGGCCAAGGCAUUUCCCUGUCCAGGUGGCCCUCAUAAAUAUCUCAGUGGAAUUUAUUUUCUUUCAUUUACUUUGGCAUUGCUUGGGCACUCCUUGAUUAAGGAGUGGUGUGUAGGAACUGACAUGCCCAGAGAUAGACAGCCACAUCUGCUAACCAUUUGGAUUAAUUAUUACACCUGUACCAUAAAACACAUGUUAAUAAAAGGCUGGUGAACAGGUUCAAGUUGCAGUUUUAAAAAGGGCCCAAAGAAAGCAAAAUGCAAGCCAUACACAAGAAGAGGCCAAACCUUUUGCUGAUAAGAUGCUGUAGGCUCCAACCACAUACAAGGAAGAGACAAUGUUAGAUACACUAAAUAUAUAUAUAUAUAUAUCACACAAGCAAACAAAAUAGGAACGUGUGUAUCCUGGCAAACUAUGCCUUUGUAGACCAUUGGCUAGAAGGUGAACAACAGUACACAUUCUUUCUUUCCUUCUUUCUUUUCUGUUAGAUGUAAAAGGAAAAAAAUCAUUAAUCACUCUGCAGGAUACAGCACUUAAAUGGGUAAAGUUGCUGAAGGGGUCUGGUUAGAAUCAGCCGAUUUUUCAUUUCCUUUCAGUGGGGACAGUGUGGUGCUCUGGAAUCUCUGGAGACCAGGAGCAUGAAUGCAGGUAUUGAAUUUUCAGGAGGAGACAAUUAAGGCCAAAUAUGUGAGAUACAAUCAUAUUUAAAUUAAUUCAGGUACUUCAACUGAAGACUUAAACCCUCUGCCUUCUUUAAGAUGCAUAUCUGGGAGAGCUUUACUGAGCUGGUAUUAAUCAUUCUAGGUUUGUAUCAGUUACAGUGGAAAGCAGUGGAGCUCUGUAUUUAUUAUUUAUUCUAUUGAACUGUCUAUGGAAAAACAUUUUGCUGAAUAAACUCUUCAAAUAGCCUUUGCUAUUCGAGAAGGCCUCCUUAGAACACAUGCAAAAAAUUAAUUAUCAUGAGGAAGCCAAGCACAGCUUUUCAUUUUCAACUCCCUGCAAGGAGCAAGGUGCCAAUUCUGUUUAGUGUUAGAUAACUUCUGACCACAUCAUGACUUGUAGAUGGACUGAAAAGGAAUAGGUAUCACAGGACAACGGUGAAGGCAAGUGUAGAUCUCACUUUGGACUGCAUCUGUAGUUGACCCUUAUCUGUUAUUUUUGGAGGCUCCUUUGGCAUAUUAGUACUCAACACAGCAAAUAUCACUAAGGAGGAGGUGCAUCAUGCUGCUCUGAUGACCGGUACUGUUAGACAACCAUGCGUUGUUAAUGAAAUCUUUCUAAAUGAAGAAAGCCAGAAAAUGCUUCUCAAGCCUUCACAACUAAGACUUGACUACAAACCCAUCACUUCAGUGCAUUUGGUCUUGACCUUUAAAUGUAGCAGUCACAUGAUCCAGGAGAAAGCUGAGGUCUCUAUUCUGCCACCAAACCCUGCCAAAGCCGUGGGUUCAGCUGAAGAGCUACUGCAUGCUUGGUGGAUUGACCGUGGUUACAAAUACCACUUGCAGGUAAGGCUUUCCAUUCACUGAUCUCUAUUUAGCCCAUGUCUUCCUGAGAGGAUGGACUCAGAAACAGUAUGGCUGCUGGGUUACCUGUAAUCAUUUAAUUUUAGACAUCAUUAUUUUAUGUUUUGAAGAUAGCAUAGAUUUCUGCAUCAGAUACACCACCUUAUCACUACCAGGCUAAAUAUGAACCCAAAAGAUUGGCAGAUCAGCCAGGCAGAAGAAGCUUUCUUCCAAGGAAUGCUAUUCAGCUUCACAAGGAAGAUGGGGCUUUCUCAUCAUCACAGCUCCUGCUCCAGACUCUGCUAAAUGAGCUGCAGUCAAGGACAGUUUAUAAGACAUAGUAAGUCUUGCUAUGGGAUGGACGAGCUAAAGCAGUUUGCCCAGCCACAGCAUGAAGAAUACACUUUCAAGGCUAUAUUUCAUGAAACGGGACCAAAAAAAGAUGAAGUUAAAUGUCUGUCUCACUUGCCUAAAGAAAUAUCUUAUGGAAACGUGACAGCCUCCUAGGAAUGGGGUUACAGCAGUAUGGAAUAUACAGUGAUACAAUUUUAAGAGAUAGCCCACAGUAAAUCUGAGAAAGUUAUUCAUUCUUAUACAUCUGCUUUACUGUUUGAAAGUUACUUUCUCCUUCAAUCCCAGUCUAAGACUUUGUACUCUCUACCUGCACAUGUUCAGUUUGUUCUGUGCACAACAGAGAAACGCAAAGAAUUUCCAAAAAUAAGGUUGUAGUUAAUGCCAGGUCAUAUGUACUAAAGCCCUAACAGAGGAUAGCACUGCUUUCCUAUUAUUACCAUUUUUUAAUGGUCUAAUUUUUCCCAGUGGAUACCAGUACAUGCAGAGGUUGUAGCAGAUGAAAAAAAAAAAAAGAAGAAGAAGAAGAAAGAAGAAUGUUUCUAUAUACUUCUGUUGUAAUCUGGAAAAUAAUGGCUUGCAGCAAACUGACGCUACAUUAAACGUACCUUUCUAGUAGAUGAAAAAUUUCUGAUUCUGAUUUUGGUUAUUUCAGUUGAUGGUUUUUUGCUUUAUUUUGUUUUGCUUUUUUGUUUUCAAUUCCUCUUGCAUUUAGUGCAGGUUAAAGCUUCCUGAAGAUGACUAACUCACAGUAACAUGUGUAUGCACAUGACAGAAUAACUCCCUUGCUGGCUCAAAGACAUACAUAUGCUUAAACACUUUGGAGAAUUGGAGCUAAAAUUAGCAUUUCAUUUUCUUUAUUUUCAAGCUAUAUUUUUCAGCCUUCUUUGUAUUACCACUGUAUUAUUCAAGAACAUUUUUGUGGUUACUCUGAUCAUUAUAGUACUGUCUAUGUUAUAGAUGCCAGCUUUAGCAUAGUUGUAGUAUCUGAAUUGAAGUGCACUGAAACUACUGGUGCAUCAACCACAUCCAUUCCUCUGAACUGCAGUCAUCUCUGGAAUGUAUUAAUUGCAAGCUAUUGUUUAGAUUUACUAUCCAGCUCCACCUUCUGGUAAACUUGUAUUAAAUCUAACUUGUUAAGUUUCUUUUGACUUACAGUUACUGAAAGCAAAUUCUUUGCUUUUUAUCUAUGGCACUGCUCAACAUCUAAGAAUGAUUUUACUGACCAGUAUUAACCACGCCAACCAUUGAAUUUGGACUCCACUGUUCCUUUCAGGGACACAUGGAAUAAAAGCACUUGUAGAGUGAGCAGUAAAGGUGAUCAUCUGCGUACACAAGUCAGCAUAGUUCUGAUUAUUGACAUUUCUUAAUUAAUAUUUCCUGGGCUCCAAAAUUAUGGAAUAGCUUUCUCAGACUCAUACUGCCACAGUUCUUUUAAUCUAAACUGUUCUUCAUUGUGCAAAUAAAUCUAAUGAGGUACUUCCAGUGUCUCUUGGAGAUUGCACUGCUCCCCAGGACAAGCUGUACAUCCUCUAUUCAUUCUUGCACAGGUUCUUAACAAAGGCAACUCCAAACUGCCUCGGUGCGAGGACAUAAUUUGCCCUCGGAGUGCUAUUAUAGACGUUUGCGUACGCUGAGCUUUUUAUACCCACGUCACGAGAAGGAAAACCGAAGGGGAAAACUCAGCGUGGAGGGUGAGAAAGAACAACAUGAAGAAAGAAGAAAAACACCCGAGUGGGCUCAGGGGGACGAGCUGCUGUGAGACAGCAAUGCAUGGCCGUGUGCACAGGGUACCGUGCAGCCCCUGGAGAAAACCAGAGAAAACAGCAUACGUUUUUGGUGCAUUCUAUCUGCUUUUCAGAGUCUAAAUGGGAAUCAGUCUUAAAAUGAAUAUUUUCAAACAAAAUGUCCUCUCUAGGUUUGUCUUUAAACCUUCGUCCUUAAUGCACUGAAAACACAACAACGGAUCCCUGCGCUUAAAAAAAUCUCUGUUGAAAAGGCGUGCUAAAACAACUUCCUUAGGAGCUGAACUUUGAAAAUGGCUUUUAAAAACAAUUGAUUUCUUGUGAAAUUGUUCACAGCCCUGAAAAAGUGGCAGGGAAAAAUCUCCUCCAACUCAGCGGACUGUUUAAGAACUCAUGGAGUGGCACAUCAGCAGUUUCAGUUUCAAUUGUUUCCUUCCGACGCCGGCUUUUCUAAAUUGCCACACUCUUAAAAAGUCUUCCAAAGAAAAAUUAAAUGCUAAGAAUUGAAAUGAAAGCGCCGACGUCCUCAGAAGCGUUUGCUCACAGUGAUUAAAGGAAGCAGCAGCACAAAUAAAAUUGUAUUUGAGAAAAAAUACAAACGGUCUGAAAUCAAACUCUGAAAAGUGUUCUAAAUCCAUAAGAAGGAGAAACAAUUUUGCAUUUGGGGCUUUUGUGUGAAAUACUUCUGGUGUUUUUCUUACAGCUUUAGUCUACACAUUCAUUUGUGCAGUAGAAAAAAAAAAAAUCCAACAGGAAAAGGUACGUUGCGCUCUACUCUGUUUUUCUCCAGAGUGAAAGUGGAAAUUGUCCUUUCUGAUACCUACGGCAGAUACGUUUUUUCGUUAUACAAACAGAAAAUAUAUCUAACCCACACACCCAUGCACCCUCUGCACUCUUUACACUGGGAAGCAUUUUAAAACAAUGAUUGUCCAUAACAACCUUAGGAGUAUGUAAGAAUUAAUUCCCCUUCAGUUUUGUUUUCACAUACACUGAGUGGCAAAGCCGUGCAACUGGCAGGUCGUAUAACGAAAGAAAGAAAGAAAGAAUAUAUAUCUGCUAGCACAUUCUCAUUUGUAUUUUUCUAUUUAUGCAGUCUCUUGCAGAGUUUUGUGUUUGGCAAUCGGAUCUAGUUUUAACUUCCACCCUUCCGAAAUGAUAUUUGUCUACGGUCUGUUCCAUAGCUGGUUACCAGGAAGAAUUGCUUUUCAGGCAAUUUUGAGAUCCUGUCCUCCUGCUGCAGUUUAGUUCUAUCCUAGCAGGAGGUUCUGUCUGACAACCCAGGACCGGGCUUUUCCAGCAGGAGAAAUGGCAGAAUAUGGUCCCUCCUCCCCUUCAUCAUUAGUUAUGGGGAAAAAUAAAAUGGUUUUUAAGGAAUACUGCAAGACAUAUUUGUCCCUUUUAUCUUCCUAAUCCUGGGCUACCUCCUCACAUUAAAAUCAAGAAUGCGUUGAUUACCAUCUCACGAUUAUAAAAAGCCUGAUAAACAAAAGAAUAUUCAUACCUUUGCCCCUUACAUUUUUGCCUCCUUCACUGCAUUUCACAUUUACCACUACUGAGAACUAUUUCUUUUUUUUUUCCUGAUGCUGUUUUCUCUGUCUACAGAUUUCACUCUUUUCCAUUUUCCCAUUUUUCCUCUUUACUAGGAUGAAAAAUGUACAAGAACUCUCACCCAGAUAUCUUUUUUUGGAGGGGUGAGUUGGGAGGAAAAGUCUCUAAAUGUUUCCAUGUUCUGCUUGAAGUACAGCAUUAACCACUUGACUUUUCUGGUUGUAUAGAUGUGCAAUUUGUGUCAUAAACACUACUACAUCCUACACCUAUUAAUUAAUUAUUAGUAAUUAUCUUUAUCUCAGAAGCUACCAAAACCAUUCCCCACAGUGUACAAUGAUGAGGUUUGUUUCCUGUAGCAUACUAGCCUGGGUCUACGGAAGAAGCAUGAGCUAGCAUCUCUAGACUAUCUCCUGUGCUGUGAUUUAUGGAGAUCUGUGAUAGGAAGGCUGCAGACAUCAGGAUUCCUUUAGGAGAACUCCUUUGCUCCAGAAAUGCUGGGGAAAGUCACACAGCAGAUCAGAUGCUGGUUCAUCUGCAGCCAGGAGCAGAAUAUUUUGGGCAAGUGUAUAUCCCACCAGGUCAGCUGCUAAUAUUUCGCUCUUGCUUUUCAGCGAGGCAGGCAGGCAUGAGAUACUCUGACUAAGGCCCAACUUGCACAUUCCCACAACAGCUUAAUUUGGCUGCAUUGCAACAUCUGUGUUGUGCUGAGUCCAGUAUCUCUCCGUGCUUUUGGGGCCAAACUCAUCCAUCAUCACAGGCAGCAGUUCGGAGCAUGGCAACGGCUGCUGCUGGUCUCAACAUUUUGAUAAAAAGCAGAGAAAGGAAAAAGAAAAAAAAAAAAGAUGAAUUCAUGUUUUAAAAGGUGCCCAACAGCUGAGGCUACCACUCGAAGCAGAAGCGGGACAGAGUUACACUUCCCACACGAGAGGUGCACAGCCUUGAAAUUUAAUAAAAAGAACAAGUGACACUCCAUAAUUUUCACUGCAAGCACCGACUGAAAGGUGACAUUACACAAUAAGAGUAAAUCUCCCACUCCGCUUAUACCAGGCCAGCACCCAGAGACAUUUCUGCCAUAACUCCAAAACCAAAAUAGCAAUGGGUGAAAUACAACCUGCGUGCUGUUGUCAAAAACAAGCGCAAGUAUUGUAGUUAAUGCUUGGCAGCCGGCCUGGAAGCCAGAGUUCUGCAAAGGGGCCCUGUGGGGGUUUCCCAUAUACGCUGCAUAAAUCCCCGCUUCCCUCCUCCGCACCAGCUCAGGCUCACGGGGUGAUCAGGAGUGCUCUGAGAGGCAUCUCCCAGGCUGGCAAAUGCAUGUGGCAGCCCGGGAUAAAAUAAAAUCCAUACAUGCGUGGUGUGUGUACCCACACAGGGGACUGAGAGCCCGUUUGGUACAAUGUGAUGAUCUUGAUCUGAUAAUCUUUGAACGAUCCUUGAGGCUCUUCCUCUCUUGACUUUCACUCAGCUCUGAUAAUCAUGGCCUGAUUCUUUGAGCUCUCACUGUCCUGGCACGUGUGGUGGAUCUUCCCUGUCAUUCGGAUCCUGACCCAACUGUUCCAAGCCAAUCCACAGCACUCUAGGGAACAAUAUAGUCGCAUUUUAAAGGGACGGAGUGAUGCAAGAUUUAUCUUAUCUACUGCCUACAUGUCCCAGAGAUCAAGAAUUAAAAAUUUUAGGAAGAUUUAAAACUGUAUGUUACAUUAGCUAUGAAUUGUUUAGCUGUCAGAUCUUGUUCUAUACAGUUGUCUGCUGGACCGAAGAUCCCUGUAAUAUCACAUAUCUUCUCCUUGCAAAAGUAAUUAUAGAACAUGAUUGAAUCGUUUCUUAAGCUCUUUUACAAGUGAAAUAAAUAGAUCCCUUCUAAUCUCUCAUGGUAAGCAUGUUUUCCAGGCCACAGGCCAUCCUGGCAGGAGUCAGGAGUCAACGGAGUCAGCAGAGCUUCACCGGUCUUUGCUCCUUGGGAUCUGACUCUCCAAUGCUAACAUGACUAUUUCCACAUGAGAAUGUGGCCAGGCCAACCCAAGGCGAAAAUACUACUUGGAGCAAAUGAAAACCGACGGGAGAAAUUGCAAUGAAAAAUUUUCAUUCAAGAUUUCUCUUGGGAUCCGUUCCUUUCUAGGGUGGCAACGCACACACACAGCUCCCUUCUCCUUGCAGCUUUGUUUAGCAUCUGUGGGAGCCUCUCAUCGGGAGCUUCAUAUGCGCGCUCAUGAGCACUCGGUGUUUGUGCUCUGUGUGUGCAAGCACCAACCACACGCUGGCGGGCAGCAGGCAUACACAUGUGGUCUAUGUUAAGAAAUGCAAGAAAUAAAGCCAAUUUUAGAUCAA
Gallus gallus (chicken) is the source of this 8832-nucleotide long non-coding RNA. RefSeq lists it as uncharacterized. NCBI's taxonomy places the organism in Eukaryota, Metazoa, Chordata, Aves, Galliformes, Phasianidae. The transcript is spliced from 5 exons. The record is from RefSeq and is a predicted model, not a curated record.